This is a long non-coding RNA of Zootermopsis nevadensis, 731 nucleotides long. RefSeq lists it as uncharacterized. NCBI's taxonomy places the organism in Eukaryota, Metazoa, Arthropoda, Insecta, Blattodea, Termopsidae. The record is from RefSeq and is a predicted model, not a curated record.
GUGGUUCUAGGACCAGCACUCCCUGAGCAAAAACUUUCCUUUUCAUUAGUCUGACGGCGUAAUCGCCAAACGAUUUAGCUGUAGGUCAGUACUUCCACAGCCAGUACCAAUAUUGUCACAGUGGCCAAUAUCUUAAGCAUGCUGCCAAGCUCUGGAUAAAACCCAGGCAUUUGUUUUCAUUUCUCGAAAUGUAUUUUCUAUGCUCUUAUUACUUCGUAUAAAGCGCCUAAUUGCGCCAGUCCCUGCCAUAAUCUAUGCAAGCGCCACUUUGCAAAAGCAAGACAAUUACUAGCAAUUCAGCCCUAAACGUCUAUUGAGGCACUGCAUCACUAAACCUGGCUAUGUCUAAGCGCGUUUAUCACAUCGCCCCAUUACGUUGGCCUACCUGUUAAUGCACUGUAAAAAAUACUGGUAGUGUUUUCGACGAAGAUGUAUAUUUUUAGAACCCAUAAAAGGGGAAGUUUUAAGGAGUGCAAUCCGUGGCGAAUCCUGGCCUAAGAGUAAGGAGGUCGGCAACCUUUUCGUUACGGUUGGCCGCAUUGGCAAACUGUGUUUAUCUUUGGGGAGGGCCACAGAAAUGAGCCGAUAUGUCCUGGAAAAGGACAAUGGGACCGAAUGGAAGAGGAGAAUUGAGGAGGCCACGGACCGAAUACGGACCAGACAGCCAUAGAAGAAGAAGAAGGAGGAGGUUGAAAUAAGAUUUAUGCCUGUUGCUUCAUCCAUUAAACUUU